This 1292-nucleotide long non-coding RNA is filed under the name Geospiza fortis (medium ground-finch). Its description in RNAcentral is "lncRNA (ENSGFOG00000006625.1)". Lineage: Eukaryota; Metazoa; Chordata; Aves; Passeriformes; Thraupidae. The record is from RNAcentral.
CCUCGGCCACAGGCACUGAUCGGCGACAAGUGACCGGAGCAGCCGGAGGCGACGAGACGGGACGGGCUUGGGGGUCGCUUUUGUUAAACGCCGCGCCCCCGUUCCUACCCCGCUGCCCCGCUCCCGGGGGACUCGACGGGGCGGGAUGGAGCCACCCCGCCGGGGCUGCAAGCACCCCACGCCUACCUUCGUCCUCUGCCGAGGUUUCGUUGCUCUCGGGCAUCUUCUCGGGACUCUCCUCCUUACUCCUCGCUCCAUCGCCUUCGUCGUCGUCUUCGUCCUCGCUCUUGUUCCGCGGGGCCCAGGUCAUCUUGUUCUCCUUCUUGAGCCGCCGGCGGGCGUUGGCGAACCAGAUCGGAGAGUCACAGGCUCAACAUCGCCCAAUAUCCCGCACAGUUCACAACCUCGCUGCAACUUCCAGCCACUCGCCUACUGCUUCUCAACAGGAAAAACAAGAGAGACCCUCAGAUCUUUUUUACCACCCCGAAUAAAGACUGCACGAGAAUUUAUGCGCCGUAUUAUGAACAGACGGAAAGCAAGUAGCUUCUCUGUCACUUUGCAGGGAGAGAGAACUACCCCGCUGCCAUCCUCUCCUAGGAUAUCGACAGCGGCUCUAGCCUCAAAUUCCGAGCACAGGUCUUUGUGUGUACGGACUAGAUAUGUGUCUGACGCUCUGUGUGCACGCUUGUUUAUAAAACUAUAUAACCAUCUAGACUUGCAGUUUGUUUAUAUAGUUUAUGGUUUUAUUUAUAUACUUUAUGCACAGAACACACACAACACGCAAUUGCAACUGCUCCUUAAACUAAUAAGAAGAAAGUGAAAUCCGAAACUGCGGCCACUACGACCAUUUUGGGCUUAAGCGAAGCUCACAGAUCGCAAACAGAUGCUCCUUUUCAUUCCCAAAAUCCAGUUAAACCAUUAGCACAAAACACACUGAAAGUAAAUAAAACCACACGGGGAUAAAGCCCCCAGCGCCUCUAAACACCGACUUAAAAGAGAGAGAGAAGAAAAAUUAGGAAAAAAAAAAAAGAAGAAGAAAAAUAAACCCUCCCUUGUGCUAUCACUGCGAAAAGAAAAAAAAUACACAUUAAAAGAAAAAAAAAAAAAAGAAGGAAAGCCUGGGACCCACAGACACGGGAACGGGGGGAAAAUGAAAGCAUCCAACCCAACCCAACUGGCUGAGACCAUCCGUAUUCCCUCAACCAAAGCGCCCUCCCGGCUCCUCAAACCGCGCGGAGAGCCCGGGACCCAGGCCGGCACCGCGCUUGGCCGGGACGCUAAGCAGAGCCCCG